Molecule: ribosomal RNA, 492 nt
Filed under: uncultured bacterium
Lineage: Bacteria
Description: partial 16S ribosomal RNA
Rfam family: Bacterial small subunit ribosomal RNA
Source: RNAcentral
AGUGAACGCUGGCGGUAGGCCUAACACAUGCAAGUCGAACGGCAGCACAGUAAGAGCUUGCUCUUACGGGUGGCGAGUGGCGGACGGGUGAGAAAUACAUCGGAAUCUACUUUUUCGUGGGGGAUAACGUAGGGAAACCUACGCUAAUACCGCAUACGACCUACGGGUGAAAGCAGGGGAUCUUCGGACCUUGCGCGAUUGAAUGAGCCGAUGUCGGAUUAGCUAGUUGGCGGGGUAAAGGCCCACCAAGGCGACGAUCCGUAGCUGGUCUGAGAGGAUGAUCAGCCACACUGGAACUGAGACACGGUCCAGACUCCUACGGGAGGCAGCAGUGGGGAAUAUUGGACAAUGGGCGCAAGCCUGAUCCAGCCAUACCGCGUGGGUGAAGAAGGCCUUCGGGUUGUAAAGACCUUUUGUUGGGAAAGAAAAGCAGCAGGUUAAUACCCCGCUGUUCUGACGGUACCCAAAGAAUAAGCACCGGCUAACUUCGUG